CCCAACUCACAUGGUAUAAAAUGGAUGAUAACAGCAAACAGCAACUUGUACCAGUUGACAUCAAUAAAGCCAUGUGCUAUGCCUGAGUCAGCGCCCUAUGGGCAUUUCCAAAAUUAGAAAUUCCCACUGCAGGCCAGUCUCUUCUGACUUCUGAGUAUUUUUAACAGUGCCAGCUUCUCCGAGUCUGACUCACUAAGGUUUGGGGCUGGAACUAGAAUUCCCAAAUGAGGAAGAAAAUCCCACCUAUUAUCUUGCUUCCUUCCAGCUUCCAGGUUCUUCAGUUGAAGUCACCACAGACUAAUCGAGCAGACUUUCCUGAAGUUUUUACAGUGGAAAUGGGAUCUUAAGAGAGAAAUUUUGAAAAUAUUUUCCUCUGUUUACCUGUGACAGGCUGGGGUGGAUCUAUAAUCUGAGUUUGGCCAACCAAAUUCUCCUCAGAGCCUGGGCAAGCAAGGCAAGGACAGAGAACUGGUGGGCAGGUCAAAGGGAGGUUAAAAUGUCCACUACCAAAGAGAACCCCCUGGAAAAGCACUGCCACGCCUUCCAUGACUGCUUUGUGCGGAAGCACUUGGUAACUUCCUGUUGGACAGCUCUCCCUGCUGCUGACCACACGUACAUCUUGGGGAGUUCUUGGUGGAAAAAGCCCUCACUGGUGAGUUCUCGCCUUCCUUCCUUCCCGCCAUGUAGGUAUUAUAA
Molecule: long non-coding RNA, 696 nt
Organism: Pteropus alecto (black flying fox)
Lineage: Eukaryota; Metazoa; Chordata; Mammalia; Chiroptera; Pteropodidae
Exons: 3
Source: RefSeq, a predicted model, not a curated record